RNAcentral lists this ribosomal RNA (234 nucleotides) under uncultured bacterium. Its description in RNAcentral is "partial 16S ribosomal RNA". It matches the Rfam family "Bacterial small subunit ribosomal RNA", at positions 102 to 334 of the family's 1533-position model. The record is from RNAcentral.
CACGGGUGAGUAACACGUAUCCAACCUGCCGUCUACUCUUGGACAGCCUUCUGAAAGGAAGAUUAAUACAAGAUGGCAUCAUGAGUCCGCAUGUUCACAUGAUUAAAGGUAUUUCCGGUAGACGAUGGGGAUGCGUUCCAUUAGAUAGUAGGCGGGGUAACGGCCCACCUAGUCUACGAUGGAUAGGGGUUCUGAGAGGAAGGUCCCCCACAUUGGAACUGAGACACGGUCCAA